Molecule: ribosomal RNA, 923 nt
Filed under: Paradendryphiella sp. KUC21227
Lineage: Eukaryota; Fungi; Ascomycota; Dothideomycetes; Pleosporales; Pleosporaceae
Description: eukaryotic LSU rRNA
Rfam family: Eukaryotic large subunit ribosomal RNA
Source: RNAcentral
AUUGCCCUAGUAACGGCGAGUGAAGCGGCAACAGCUCAAAUUUGAAAUCUGGCUCUUUUAGGGUCCGAGUUGUAAUUUGCAGAGGGCGCUUUGGCUUUGGCAGCGGUCCAAGUUCCUUGGAACAGGACGUCACAGAGGGUGAGAAUCCCGUACGUGGUCGCUAGCUAUUGCCGUGUAAAGCCCCUUCGACGAGUCGAGUUGUUUGGGAAUGCAGCUCUAAAUGGGAGGUAAAUUUCUUCUAAAGCUAAAUACUGGCCAGAGACCGAUAGCGCACAAGUAGAGUGAUCGAAAGAUGAAAAGCACUUUGGAAAGAGAGUCAAACAGCACGUGAAAUUGUUGAAAGGGAAGCGCUUACAGCCAGACUUGCUUGCAGUUGAUCAUCCGGGCUUUUGCCCGGUGCACUCUUCUGUAGGCAGGCCAGCAUCAGUUUGGGCGGUGGGAUAAAGGUCUCUGUCAUGUACCUCUCUUCGGGGAGGCCUUAUAGGGGAGACGACAUACCACCAGCCUAGACUGAGGUCCGCGCAUCUGCUAGGAUGCUGGCGUAAUGGCUGUAAGCGGCCCGUCUUGAAACACGGACCAAGGAGUCUAACAUCUAUGCGAGUGUUUGGGUGUCAAGCCCGAGCGCGUAAUGAAAGUGAACGGAGGUGGGAACCCGCAAGGGUGCACCAUCGACCGAUCCUGAAGUUUUCGGAAGGAUUUGAGUAAGAGCAUGGCUGUUGGGACCCGAAAGAUGGUGAACUAUGCUUGAAUAGGGUGAAGCCAGAGGAAACUCUGGUGGAGGCUCGCAGCGGUUCUGACGUGCAAAUCGAUCGUCAAAUUUGGGCAUAGGGGCGAAAGACUAAUCGAACUAUCUAGUAGCUGGUUCCUGCCGAAGUUUCCCUCAGGAUAGCAGUAACGUAUUCAGUUUUAUGAGGUAAAGCGAA